This 790-nucleotide ribosomal RNA is filed under the name Xerobiotus pseudohufelandi. RNAcentral describes it as "SSU rRNA". It matches the Rfam family "Eukaryotic small subunit ribosomal RNA", at positions 102 to 892 of the family's 1831-position model. The record is from RNAcentral. Lineage: Eukaryota; Metazoa; Tardigrada; Eutardigrada; Parachela; Macrobiotidae.
UAAAUCAGUUAUGGUUCACUAGAUCGUAAAUUUUACACGGAUAACUGUGGUAAUUCUAGAGCUAAUACGUGCAACCAGCUCGCUUCCUUGUGGAGCGAGCGCAGUUAUUAGAACAAGACCAAUCCGGCCCUCGGGUCGGUACAAUUGGUGACUCUGAAUAACCGAAGCGGAGCGCAUGGUCUCGUACCGGCGCCAGAUCUUUCAAGUGUCUGACUUAUCAGCUUGUUGUUAGGUUAUGUUCCUAACAAGGCUUCAACGGGUAACGGGGUAUCAGGGUCCGAUACCGGAGAGGGAGCCUGAGAAACGGCUACCACAUCCAAGGAAGGCAGCAGGCGCGCAAAUUACCCACUCCUAGCACAGGGAGGUAGUGACGAAAAAUAACGAUGCGAGGGCUUAUAGCUUCUCGUAAUCGGAAUGGGUACACUUUAAAUCCUUUAACGAGGAUCUAUUGGAGGGCAAGUCUGGUGCCAGCAGCCGCGGUAAUUCCAGCUCCAAUAGCGUAUAUUAAAGUUGCUGCGGUUAAAAAGCUCGUAGUUGGAUCUGGGCUUCUGAAUGGAUGGUGCGCUUUACGGUGCUACUGUCCGUUUGGUGCCACAAGCCGGCCAUGUAGUGCAUGCUCUUCAUUGAGUGUGCAUUGCGACCGGAACGUUUACUUUGAAAAAAUUAGAGUGCUCAAAGCAGGCGUACGGCCUUGCAUAAUGGUGCAUGGAAUAAUGGAAUAGGACCUCGGUUCUAUUUUGUUGGUUUUCGGAACUCGAGGUAAUGAUUAAUAGGAACAGACGGGGGCAUU